RNAcentral lists this ribosomal RNA (868 nucleotides) under uncultured archaeon. Its description in RNAcentral is "bacterial SSU rRNA". It matches the Rfam family "Archaeal small subunit ribosomal RNA", at positions 68 to 922 of the family's 1478-position model. The record is from RNAcentral.
AUGUCUGGGAGUGGCACACUGCUCAGUAACACGUAGCUAACCUACCCUUAGGACGUGGAUACCCCCGAGAAAUUGGGGUUAAUCCGCGAUAGAUGUAAUGUCCUGGAAUGGUAUUACGUCUAAAGGUAUUUCAUACAUGUUUGAAAUAUGCCUAAGGAUGGGGCUGCGGCCGAUCAGGCUGUUGGUGAGGUAAUGGCUCACCAAACCUUUGACCGGUACGGGCCAUGAGAGUGGUAGCCCGGAGAUGGACACUGAGACAAGGGUCCAGGCCCUACGGGGCGCAGCAGGCGCGAAACCUCCUCAAUGCACUCACGUGCGAUGGGGCUAUCUCGAGUGCCACCUGAUGAAGGUGGCUUUUCCUUGGUCUUCAAAGCCUUGGGAAUAAGAGGGGGGCAAGACUGGUGUCAGCCGCCGCGGUAACACCAGCCCCUCGAGUGGUGGGGAUGAUUAUUUGGCCUAAAGCGUCCGUAGCCGGCCGGGUAAGUUUCCCGUUAAAUCCAGCGUCUCAAGCGUUGGACUGCGGGAAAUACUGCCUGGCUAGAGAGUGGGAGAGGUCAGCGGUAUUCUGGGGGUAGGGGCGAAAUCCUUUGAUCCCCGGAGGACCACCAGUGGCGAAGGCUGCUGACUAGAACACGUCUGACGGUCAGGGACGAAAGCUGGGGUAGCGAGCCGGAUUAGAUACCCGGGUAGUCCCAGCCGUAAACGAUGCAUGCUAGGUGUUGGGUUGGCCACGAGCCACCCCAGUGCCGCAGGGAAGCCGUUAAGCAUGCCGCCUGGGAAGUACGAUCGCAAGAUUGAAACUUAAAGGAAUUGGCGGGGGAGCACCACCAGGCGUGAAGCCUGCGGUUUAAUUGGAUUCAACGCCGGA